UGAGUAGCACAGAUGAUCGCGCCUAUUAGCUGCCGAAAGGCCUUAGGUGAGGAAAGUCCGAGCUUCAUAGGGCAGAGUGCCGGAUAACGUCCGGUGGAGGCGACUCUAAGGAUAGUGCAACAGAAAUAUACCGCCUGUAUGUUUUGGCAUACCGGUAAGGUUGGAAGGGUGGAGUAAGAGACCACCGCCUGUGUGGUAACAGACAGGGCAUAUGUAAACCCCACUCGAAGCAAGACCGAAUUUAAAGCGAUACGGCUGCCCGUCGUGCUUUAGGGUAGGUCGCGGUUUGCAGUAUAAUGUCUGCUUUGGCAGUACAUUAUUUCACAAACGAGCCAUAUGGUAACAUGUGGCAAAGAUAGAUGAUCAUUUAAUACAGAACUCGGCUUAUAGUGCUGCUCAUUUA
This 403-nucleotide RNase P RNA is filed under the name Anaerocolumna sp. AGMB13025. RNAcentral's name for it is "RNase P RNA component class A". It matches the Rfam family "Bacterial RNase P class A". From Rfam's summary of the family: Ribonuclease P (RNase P) is a ubiquitous endoribonuclease, found in archaea, bacteria and eukarya as well as chloroplasts and mitochondria. Its best characterised activity is the generation of mature 5'-ends of tRNAs by cleaving the 5'-leader elements of precursor-tRNAs. Cellular RNase Ps are ribonucleoproteins. The record is from RNAcentral. Lineage: Bacteria; Bacillati; Bacillota; Clostridia; Lachnospirales; Lachnospiraceae.